GAUGAACGCUGGCGGCGUGCCUAAUACAUGCAAGUCGAGCGAACGGACGAGAAGCUUGCUUCUCUGAUGUUAGCGGCGGACGGGUGAGUAACACGUGGAUAACCUACCUAUAAGACUGGGAUAACUUCGGGAAACCGGAGCUAAUACCGGAUAAUAUUUUGAACCGCAUGGUUCAAAAGUGAAAGACGGUCUUGCUGUCACUUAUAGAUGGAUCCGCGCUGCAUUAGCUAGUUGGUAAGGUAACGGCUUACCAAGGCAACGAUGCAUAGCCGACCUGAGAGGGUGAUCGGCCACACUGGAACUGAGACACGGUCCAUGCUCCUACGGGAGGCAGCAGUAGGGAAUCUUCCGCAGUGGGCGAAAGCCUGACGGAGCGGCGCCGCGUGAGUGAUGAAGGUCUUCGGAUCGUAAAACUCUGUUAUUAGGGAAGAACAUAUGUGUAAGUAACUGUGCACAUCUUGACGGUACCUAAUCAGAAAGCCACGGCUAACUACGUG
RNAcentral lists this ribosomal RNA (497 nucleotides) under uncultured bacterium. RNAcentral's name for it is "partial 16S ribosomal RNA". It matches the Rfam family "Bacterial small subunit ribosomal RNA", at positions 28 to 507 of the family's 1533-position model. The record is from RNAcentral.